RNAcentral lists this non-coding RNA (1624 nucleotides) under Uncinocarpus reesii 1704. RNAcentral describes it as "Eukaryotic large subunit ribosomal RNA". It matches the Rfam family "Eukaryotic large subunit ribosomal RNA", at positions 521 to 2136 of the family's 3401-position model. Lineage: Eukaryota; Fungi; Ascomycota; Eurotiomycetes; Onygenales; Onygenaceae. The record is from Rfam by way of RNAcentral.
GUUGGUUACAGGGUCUGGAUGUAUCGUCCUUCUCUCUGAAGUGUCUGCCAGGGGCGCAAUGCGGCAGCCGGGAUGUCUGUUAGAGAGCGCGUCUCCGCACGGAUGCUGGCAUAAUGGUUGUAAGCGGCCCGUCUUGAACACGGACCAAGGAGUCUAACAUCCACGCGAGUGUUCGGGUGUCAAACCCGUGCGCGCAGUGAAAGCGAACGGAGGUGGGAGCCCAUCAGGGUGCACCAUCGACCGAUCCUGAAGUCUUCGGAUGGAUUUGAGUAAGAGCGUGGCUGUUGGGACCCGAAAGAUGGUGAACUAUGCCUGAAUAGGGUGAAGCCAGAGGAAACUCUGGUGGAGGCUCGCAGCGGUUCUGACGUGCAAAUCGAUCGUCAAAUUUGGGUAUAGGGGCGAAAGACUAAUCGAAUCAUCUGGUAGCUGGUUCCUGGCGAAGUUUCCCUCAGGAUAGCAGUAACGUUUUCAGUUUUAUGAGGUAAAGCGAAUGAUUAGAGGCCUUGGGGUUGAAACAACCUUAACCUAUUCUCAAACUUUAAAUAUGUAAGAAGCCCUUGUUACUUAAGUGAACGUGGGCAUUAGAAUGGAUCGUUACUAGUGGGGCCAUUUUUGGUAAGCAGAACUGGCGAUGCGGGAUGAACCGAACGCGAGGUUAAGGUGCCGGAAUGCACGCUCAUCAGACACCACAAAAGGUGUUAGUUCAUCUAGACAGCCCGACGGUGGCCAUGGAAGUCGGAAUCCGCUAAGGAGUGUGUAACAACUCACGGGCCGAAUGAACUAGCCCUGAAAAUGGAUGGCGCUCAAGCGUGCUACCCAUACCUCGCCGUCGGGGUAGAAACGAUGCCCCGACGAGUAGGCAGGCGUGGAGGUUUGUGACGAAGCCUUGGGAGUGAUCCCGGGUCGAACAGCCUCUAGUGCAGAUCUUGGUGGUAGUAGCAAAUACUCAAAUGAGAACUUUGAGGACUGAAGUGGGGAAAGGUUCCAUGUGAACAGCAGUUGGACAUGGGUUAGUCGAUCCUAAGACAUAGGGUAGUUCCGUUUGAAAGCGCGCCCUCGUGCGCCGUUCGUCGAAAGGGAAGCCGGUUAAUAUUCCGGCACCUGGAUGUGGAUUCUCCACGGCAACGUAACUGAACGCGGAGACGUCGGCAGGAGUCCUGGGAAGAGUUCUCUUUUCUUCUUGACGGCCUAUCACCCUGAAAUCGGUUUGUCCGGAGCUAGGGUUUCAUGGCCGGCAGAGCCCCGCACCUUUGUGGGGUCCGGUGCACUCCUGACGACCCUUGAAAAUCCGCGGGAAGGGAAUAGUUUUCACGCCAGGUCGUACUCAUACCGCAGCAGGUCCUCCAAGGGUGAAAAGCCUUCUAGUUGAUAGAACAAUGUAGAUACGGGAAGGUCGUGCAAAUAUAUUCUGUAACUUCUGGGAAAAGGAUUGGGCUCUUAUGGUUCGGGCCCGUUGGGGCCUUGGGGGGAAAAGCUCUGGAGCAAAAAGGCACUAUGCCGGGUAACCGGCGGGUCCUUUUUAGCAUCGGGGGUGCGGGACGCCCUUGGGCAGGCUUUCGGCGGCUCGGGGCGCGGAUUAACCGACCACACUAGAAAUCUGUGUUCGGGAGAAAGGGGGAAAAUC